AACGACUCUCGGCAACGGAUAUCUCGGCUCUCGCAUCGAUGAAGAACGUAGCGAAAUGCGAUACUUGGUGUGAAUUGCAGAAUCCCGUGAACCAUCGAGUCUUUGAACGCAAGUUGCGCCCGAAGCCUUUUGGCCGAGGGCACGUCUGCCUGGGUGUCACGCA
This 163-nucleotide ribosomal RNA is filed under the name Elatine macropoda. Its description in RNAcentral is "partial 5.8S ribosomal RNA". It matches the Rfam family "5.8S ribosomal RNA". Rfam says of the family: 5.8S ribosomal RNA (5.8S rRNA) is a component of the large subunit of the eukaryotic ribosome. The record is from RNAcentral. Lineage: Eukaryota; Viridiplantae; Streptophyta; Magnoliopsida; Malpighiales; Elatinaceae.